RNAcentral lists this long non-coding RNA (1235 nucleotides) under Olea europaea subsp. europaea. Lineage: Eukaryota; Viridiplantae; Streptophyta; Magnoliopsida; Lamiales; Oleaceae. The record is from RNAcentral.
UAUAUUCUCCUGAAAAACGUAGAACAGUCCCUUCACCACAACCAAGAAUCCUUUCAUAACAUCUAGUACUCCACCUUGAGCCUUGUAGAUACAGCCAGAUUCAUCCAUAGCUCCAAGUGAGAUCAAAUUCCUCUCAAGAUCAUCCCACAUUUUCAGCUUAAUAACUCCAACAUCCACUACAUCACAAGUGGUGUUAUUUCCUAGCAAAACUUUGCUCCCAUGAUCUGGUUUAUACUCCAAGAAAAGAUCUCUAUUGGAUGUCUUGUGGAAGGCACACCAAGAAUCCAUGAUCCACUCAUCUUUAGGAUCCUUACCAGCCACCGAAAGUACAUCAGCACUCUCAUAGCCAUCUGAGACGUUUACCGAGUCCCCAUUACUACUCUGAUGAUCUUGUUUCUGACUUUUGUUGUGUAUGGAACCUGACAUCUUUGAUUCAUCCUUCAAGGCUUCAUCCACUCCAAGAUUACCAAGAUAUACCAUCAUCUUUUCUCUCCACAGGUUGAAGUCAUUCUUCCCAUCAAACUUUUCAACUUCAAACUUGAACGUAGACAUCAUGAAAGCAAUAUUCUGGCCAGGAAAAUUCUUCCACGAUCGGUGACGAACAAUUAUCAGAAAUUUGAAAAAGAACCUUCAAACCUUUGCAAAUCUUUCACCUAGAUCAUACCCCACGCUCUGCUACCACUGUUAGGAUUUUUACCAAUCUCCCAUGUCCCAGGAAACAAUGAUCAUUUCAUAUUUGCAAUGACAGGAAAAGAAACUUAGCAAUAGCAGAAUAUAAAACCAGUAAAGAACCAGAUUAUGGACUCAAGAAUUGCUUGUUUUCUGGAACAAUUUUCAUCAACCAUUGAAGGGAAUUUACCCCCAGUCAAUCUACCAUUCAAGAGGAAUAUUACAUAGUCUUUAUCUUACCCAAAACACCACCACUCACCACCCAACCGGGAAUAACCAAAAAGCUCCCAGAAAGUUUACAAGGACUUGUGUUACAGAGAAUUCUAUCUCACACUACCUUACUUUCUCUAUCUACAGAUAUCCCCCUCUUGCUCACACUUCACGUAUACAGCCCUCUAUCCUAUUUAUAGACAAAGGAAUGUAGAGAUGUACAAGAAAAUACAUCUAAUAUUCAGCUACAACAACUACCAGAAAAUUAGUUAGAACCAAAGGCUCCUAACUGAUUUUCUAACUCACUAACUAAUCCAACUAAUGAGUUUAAUAACCGAAUUAAGAAUCAAUAUUUU